GGUGUAUAUGGGCUCAUACAUCCUACCUGCCUGGUGAAGAUUUAAACGGCCACGGUAUUUUGACUGUGCAAAGGUAGCAUAAUCAAUUGUCUAUUAGUUGUAGACUCUUAUGAAAGGUUGAACACAUCUUUAUUUUUUUUAGGUGAGGUGAAUUUAUGGGUUUAUUAAAAAUAAUGAAAUGAUUUAUUGGGACGAGAAGACCCUAUUGAGUUUUAUAUAGUAAAUUAGUUUAUUAGUAUUGGGAGAGUGAAAUUUUUUGAGUAUAUUUUGCUGGGGCAGUGUAUUAUAAAAAUGCAUAAGUAAUUGUUAAUAUUGAUGACAUUGAUCCAUUAAUUAAAUGAUAGCUGGAAUUAAAUUACUGUAGGGAUAACAGCAUAAUAAGUUUUGAGAGUUCUUAUUGAUGAUUGUGUUUGCGACCUCGAUGUUGAUUUAAGAUUCCCAUAAGGAGUAGAAUAUUUUUAGGGUAGUUUGUUCAACCAUUAAAUUCUUAUU
Molecule: ribosomal RNA, 492 nt
Filed under: Cryptops weberi
Lineage: Eukaryota; Metazoa; Arthropoda; Chilopoda; Scolopendromorpha; Cryptopidae
Description: partial 16S small subunit ribosomal RNA
Rfam family: Bacterial large subunit ribosomal RNA
Source: RNAcentral